RNAcentral lists this ribosomal RNA (492 nucleotides) under uncultured bacterium. RNAcentral's name for it is "partial 16S ribosomal RNA". It matches the Rfam family "Bacterial small subunit ribosomal RNA", at positions 29 to 507 of the family's 1533-position model. The record is from RNAcentral.
AGUGAACGCUGGCGGUGGGCCUAACACAUGCAAGUCGAACGGCAGCACAGUAAGAGCUUGCUCUUACGGGUGGCGAGUGGCGGACGGGUGAGGAAUACAUCGGAAUCUACUUUUUCGUGGGGGAUAACGUAGGGAAACUUACGCUAAUACCGCAUACGACCUACGGGUGAAAGCAGGGGAUCUUCGGACCUUGCGCGAUUGAAUGAGCCGAUGUCGGAUUAGCUAGUUGGCGGGGUAAAGGCCCACCAAGGCGACGAUCCGUAGCUGGUCUGAGAGGAUGAUCAGCCACACUGGAACUGAGACACGGUCCAGACUCCUACGGGAGGCAGCAGUGGGGAAUAUUGGACAAUGGGCGCAAGCCUGAUCCAGCCAUACCGCGUGGGUGAAGAAGGCCUUCGGGUUGUAAAGCCCUUUUGUUGGGAAAGAAAAGCAGCAGGUUAAUACCCCGCUGUUCUGACGGUACCCAAAGAAUAAGCAUCGGCUAACUUCGUG